Molecule: long non-coding RNA, 738 nt
Organism: Drosophila albomicans
Lineage: Eukaryota; Metazoa; Arthropoda; Insecta; Diptera; Drosophilidae
Exons: 3
Source: RefSeq, a predicted model, not a curated record
UACUUUAUAGGGUCGGAGAUGCCUUCAUACCUGUUACAUAUAUUUCCUGUCGGCACAAAGUUAUAAUACCCUUCUAAAAUUAUAUGAAAAAACUAAUUAUUGGAGCAAUGUGAAUACUUUUCUUUCAAGAUCUUUGCCUUUAUUGCAAAGUAUGAAUUUUAAUAGAUCUGAUAUCUUGGAUGACCCAUGCGCAACAGAGUUGAAAAAUUCGGUAUCACAAUUAAAUUAUCCCCUCAAAUUAACAAUUCCACCUUAUUUGCAUCAUUUAAUCAGUGUUCAAGGGAAACGUUUAAGAAAACAAGGAAUUGAUAGAAAACCUCGUCAAACUUAUAGUGCAAAACAAUUAGAUAUUCUCGAAAGAGAAUUUAAACAGGAUAAAUAUUUAAGCGUAAACAAGCGAAUGGAGCUCUCUAAAACUUUAUCACUGACAGAAGUACAAAUAAAGACAUGGUUCCAGAAUCGUCGAACAAAGUGGAAAAAGCAACUGACAUCACGAAUUAAAAUGGCCCAACGACAAGGGCUAUAUAAGUGUGACAUGUAUCUAUCAAGGAUUCCUACAAAAUCAAGUGUUAAAUCUGGAUACUUUAAUAUGUUUCCUACUUAUUAUUCCGAUUGUCAAUGGUACUUGCCACAACCUUCUUAAAAUUGUUCCUGACUUUAUUUAGAAUUUCAAUUUAUAUUUUAGUCUUUAGAUAUAUCUUGAAGCGACUUUGUACAUAAAUUAAAAAUUGGCUCGAU